Molecule: long non-coding RNA, 526 nt
Organism: Rosa rugosa (rugosa rose)
Lineage: Eukaryota; Viridiplantae; Streptophyta; Magnoliopsida; Rosales; Rosaceae
Exons: 3
Source: RefSeq, a predicted model, not a curated record
CAGUUUCCCACGCGACUACACUCGGUUAAUUUUCUCUCUUAAACCCUAAACACCACGACUACACUUCGUUUGCCUCCUCUUCCUCAUCCUCCUCCUCCGACCAGCACCCAACUGCUCUCUGCCUCAGCCUCUGCCUCCACUCUCCUCCGCCUCCGCUAUCCUCCUCCUCCUCUUCCUUUUGGCACACCUGUUCUCUCAUCUCUCUUCUCCAAUUCACCAGAUCUGCUAAAGACGCAGUCCACGCCGGAGCUCCGCCUUGCCCCUCCUCCUUCUCUUUUCUCCUUCCACCCCGACGUGUAUCGGGCUCGUGGUCAACUGAUCUUGCUCUUGGAAACUUGGUUCGAUUCAGAAAUUUUCAAGCUCGGAUACAAGAGUAUGUUGAAACUACAAGCUUCUGUCAAUUCUGGAGGUAAGGAACAUAAAAUUAAUGUUGACAUUUAUGAAUAAUUUUCAGAUGGGUUUGUUUUGAUUUUUGUUGUGUUCUUGAUUUUAUUUGGUCAUUUUUGUUUCCUGGUGGGUUUUUGGG